GGAGGCAUUAUGGGUGAACUCUGUUUCACCUGAGUAACAAAUUGUUCCAUUAAGUGCUGACAAUGUACUUUUACCUAACUAAAAAGCACCUGAACCCUUAUCUGUAUAGUCUGAUCCUUAUCUGGAUUUGGUUUCUGCUCAUGGUCUGCCACUGACUUGUUA
Bombina bombina (fire-bellied toad) is the source of this 162-nucleotide long non-coding RNA. RefSeq lists it as uncharacterized. The record is from RefSeq and is a predicted model, not a curated record. NCBI's taxonomy places the organism in Eukaryota, Metazoa, Chordata, Amphibia, Anura, Bombinatoridae. The transcript is spliced from 3 exons.